AUUGAACGCUGGCGGCAUGCCUUACACAUGCAAGUCGAACGGUAACAGGUCUUCGGAUGCUGACGAGUGGCGAACGGGUGAGUAAUACAUCGGAACGUGCCCGAUCGUGGGGGGAUAACGCAGCGAAAGCUGUGCUAAUACCGCAUACGAUCUACGGAUGAAAGCGGGGGACUCGCAAGGGCCUCGCGCGGACGGAGCGGCCGAUGGCAGAUUAGGUAGUUGGUGGGAUAAAAGCUUACCAAGCCGACGAUCUGUAGCUGGUCUGAGAGGACGACCAGCCACACUGGGACUGAGACACGGCCCAGACUCCUACGGGAGGCAGCAGUGGGGAAUUUUGGACAAUGGGCGCAAGCCUGAUCCAGCCAUGCCGCGUGCAGGAUGAAGGCCUUCGGGUUGUAACUGCUUUGUACGGUAACGAAAAAGACUACUCUCUAAUACAGGGGUGAAUGACGGUACCGUAAGAAUAAG
Molecule: ribosomal RNA, 468 nt
Filed under: uncultured bacterium
Lineage: Bacteria
Description: bacterial SSU rRNA
Rfam family: Bacterial small subunit ribosomal RNA
Source: RNAcentral